GACGUAGGGCGCGAGCGUUGUCCGGAUUUAUUGGGCGUAAAGAGCUCGUAGGCGGCUUGUCGCGUCGUUCGUGAAAGCCCACGGCUCAACUGUGGGCUUGCGGUCGAUACGGGCAGGCUGGAGUUCGGUAGGGGAGACUGGAAUUCCUGGUGUAGCGGUGAAAUGCGCAGAUAUCAGGAGGAACACCGGUGGCGAAGGCGGGUCUCUGGGCCGAUACUGACGCUGAGGAGCGAAAGCGUGGGGAGCGAACAGG
This 253-nucleotide ribosomal RNA is filed under the name uncultured bacterium. Its description in RNAcentral is "partial 16S ribosomal RNA". It matches the Rfam family "Bacterial small subunit ribosomal RNA", at positions 524 to 776 of the family's 1533-position model. The record is from RNAcentral.